This 494-nucleotide ribosomal RNA is filed under the name uncultured bacterium. RNAcentral's name for it is "partial 16S ribosomal RNA". It matches the Rfam family "Bacterial small subunit ribosomal RNA", at positions 28 to 505 of the family's 1533-position model. The record is from RNAcentral.
GAUGAACGCUGGCGGCGUGCCUAAUACAUGCAAGUAGAACGCUGAAGGAGGAGCUUGCUCUUUCCGGAUGAGUUGCGAACGGGUGAGUAACGCGUAGGUAACCUGCCUGGUAGCGGGGGAUAACUAUUGGAAACGAUAGCUAAUACCGCAUAACAGUAGAUAUUGCAUGAUAUUUGCUUGAAAGGGGCAAUUGCUCCACUACCAGAUGGACCUGCGUUGUAUUAGCUAGUUGGUGAGGUAACGGCUCACCAAGGCGACGAUACAUAGCCGACCUGAGAGGGUGAUCGGCCACACUGGGACUGAGACACGGCCCAGACUCCUACGGGAGGCAGCAGUAGGGAAUCUUCGGCAAUGGACGGAAGUCUGACCGAGCAACGCCGCGUGAGUGAAGAAGGUUUUCGGAUCGUAAAGCUCUGUUGUAAGAGAAGAACGAGUGUGAGAGUGGAAAGUUCACACUGUGACGGUAUCUUACCAGAAAGGGACGGCUAACUACG